This 620-nucleotide ribosomal RNA is filed under the name uncultured bacterium. RNAcentral's name for it is "bacterial SSU rRNA". The stretch from base 1 to 524 matches the Rfam family "Bacterial small subunit ribosomal RNA", at positions 338 to 873 of the family's 1533-position model. The record is from RNAcentral.
CCUACGGGAGGCAGCAGUGGGGAAUAUUGGACAAUGGGCGAAAGCCUGAUCCAGCAAUGCCGCGUGAGUGAUGAAGGCCUUCGGGUCGUAAAGCUCUUUUACCAGGGAUGAUAAUGACAGUACCUGGAGAAUAAGCUCCGGCUAACUCCGUGCCAGCAGCCGCGGUAAUACGGAGGGAGCUAGCGUUGUUCGGAAUUACUGGGCGUAAAGAGUACGUAGGCGGUUAUUCAAGUCAGAGGUGAAAGCCCGGGGCUCGACCCCGGAACUGCCUUUGAAACUAGAUAACUAGAGUCUUGGAGAGGUUAGUGGAAUUCCGAGUGUAGAGGUGAAAUUCGUAGAUAUUCGGAAGAACACCAGUGGCGAAGGCGACUAACUGGACAAGUACUGACGCUGAGGUACGAAAGCGUGGGGAGCAAACAGGAUUAGAUACCCUGGUAGUCCACGCCGUAAACGAUGAUAACUAGUUGUUCGGUCACUUGGUGUACGUGAGUAGACGCGAGACUACGACAUUAAGUUAUUCCGUCCGUCGGGUAGGUACGGUCGUCGAGAAGUUAAACGUUAAACGUAAAGUUAGUACGGACGUGAGUAACGUGUCGACGACGACGACGAGGGAGGUUAGG